GAGCACUAACUUGACACAAAAGGAAGGUACAAAUUACAACCAAAAGGCAGGUUCGGAAGGUUCAACAAAAGUAACAUGCUAUCAAGCUAUAAGCCUGAAAAGGAUAAAUAAUGAGAGGGUGAGUUCAACAACUCAGUGAGUAGAUAACGUUCAAUAUACACACACGAGGUAAUAUAGCAAUGAGAAAUAUAUAUACAAGUAUGGCUUUAGUUCUUAUACGAAGGUUUAUCAAAUAGGCCAUAACAAGAAUAUCAUAUGGUAAAACUUGUCAGAAAAUCAAAAUGCAAUGAGCAUGAGGCUCCGUACUGUGGGAUGAUCAGUCCACACAGGUUGGUGACUCUCCCCCGACCAACUAGGGUUCAGAUACGAUGUGCACAAAGACUAACACUACCCUGUUAGCAUGGGUAUUCUGACUGACAUACCAUAGGCUCAUAAUCAUAAUCAAACAAACAUAUUCAUAUCUCAAAGCUCAACUCAUGACAUCCAUCAAAUGAGGAGCUAUCAAUUCAGAAGUCAAAUCAUAUUGGUUCAUAUCAAGAAAUCAGAUUCAAUAAUUGAUCAUGCUUUAUCAUAUCAAGGAUAAUAAUCAGCAUAUAUAUUAUCAAGAAGCAUGAUCCAAUUCAUAUUAACAAAUCAAAUAUUUAUAAUAUUUCUCAUGCAUAUGGAAAAUUAUCCACUCACCUGACUCAAAAGCAAACUGCACACACAAGCUGAAACCGAAGGAAAUUCUACUGACGUCCUGCCGGUAGAAUAUCAGGAUUAUCUGAAUACAAAGGAGACAUAUUCAAGAACGACUCGAAAGAACAUUUAACCUAUUUAAUACACUUAACUAAGGGUGUAUUCCGUAAUCCUAUAUAUUUUUGAACUAACUAGUCAAUUUUCUUAAAAACCCAAAAUCUAACGGUUUUCCCGAAAUCUAAUCCAUAAUAAAAACAACUAAUAAAAUUGGUAAUAAUUCACUAAAUAACCCUUAAUUAUUCAUCAAACUAAUCUGCAAAAGCUAAUAUUACAGCUAGGGACUAAUAUGGAAUUUUUCUAUAUUUUUAGGGCCAAAUUGUAACUUUUGUCAAAUGGAGGACCAAACUGAAAUUUGUCAUAAAUCCAUGAAUAUACUGAAAUUCUGACCUUAAUUAAUCCUCAAUUAUGUCCAGGAUGUAUCAUUAUGCUUCAGGGAUCAUUCUGGAAUUUUACUAAAUUUUUAGGGUCAAAUCGUACUUUUUGUCAAAUUGGAGGACUAAAUUGAAAGUGUUAAAUUCUCUUAUCUAUACAGUAAUUAUGUCCAUAAUUCAUAUGUUAUUCUGUUCAGAAUCUCGGAAUAUGCUCCAGGGACCAAUUUGUAAUUUUCCAAAGUUCAGGGACUAAACUGUAAUUUUCGGAAAUUGAGGGACCAAAUUGAAUUUUCGUCAUCUUCAACCUCCAGUCCAGAUUUUAACAGAAACCCCACUGUUCUCCCCUGAUUUCUAACUCAAUUUUCACCAUUUACACAAUUCUAUAACUCAAAAUCAUCAUAAUCUUCCAUAAUCAACUAAAUCAUCAAUUAAACACAACAAUCAACCCCUAACCUUCAAUUUAAUUCAUCAAUUUAAAUCAAACACAAAUUCUCAAAACCCUAACAUUCAUAAAAACUAAAAUUAAAGCUUAAUUAACAUAUUAUACACAUUAAACAACCUAAAUCUUACCUUUUUCACUUAUUUCCUCCAAUUCUCUUCCUUUUUCCCUUAUUUUCCCCUCUUUUCUCUUCUUCUUCUUUCCUUUCUCACUUCUGCCGAUUCUCUUCCUCUCAAAAUCAGAUUUCUAUUAUUUUUUUUUUUUUUUUACUUCCUUUUUAUAUUUAUCAACUAUUUAUCCAAUUACUACUAUACCCCUCAUUUAAUUUAUUCCUACAUCUAAGCCUUCAAGGGGUUUCUAGGCUUUUCCUAUCUCAUUAAUUCAAAAC
Molecule: long non-coding RNA, 1936 nt
Filed under: Populus tremula
Lineage: Eukaryota; Viridiplantae; Streptophyta; Magnoliopsida; Malpighiales; Salicaceae
Description: long non-coding RNA (PTRE_LNC002792)
Source: RNAcentral